AGGCUUCUCAGCAGAACAUGUCGGAAAAAAUUCUGCAAGUGGAGAAGACAGCUGCUCUCACCUAAAGGACAUUAAAGUGGACAGUUGAGAAAACAGAAGCCAAGAAGGGAGAGAAGGAACCGUACCAGGUGCUGUAGGGGUGUAGCUGGGAGAGCGUCUGGAAGAACAAAGGCAACAGAAAGGAAGAAUGACUGCAGAUGCGCUGAUGGCUGUGGCUUCAUAUCCCAGAAGCCAUAUACUGAUGAGUGGAAAACCCAGUGCCAGGGUGGGCUACCUCUAUACAUUUCUGGACUCGGAGUCUUCUGAGGCCUCCAAAACCAUAAAAGCUGAUGUCAUGUACUAGAUAGUUUUUUUUGUCAACACAAGCUAAAAUCAUCUGAGAGGAAGGAGCCUCUGUUAACAUUUCUCCAUGCACUGAGCUGUACAGCAGCUUGUUGGGAAUUUUCUUAACUAGUGAUUAAUGUGGGGAGGGCCCAGCCCA
This 481-nucleotide long non-coding RNA is filed under the name Mus caroli (Ryukyu mouse). RNAcentral's name for it is "zinc finger protein 335, opposite strand (MGP_CAROLIEiJ_G0003310.1)". The record is from RNAcentral. Lineage: Eukaryota; Metazoa; Chordata; Mammalia; Rodentia; Muridae.